This is a long non-coding RNA of Gavialis gangeticus (Gharial), 3318 nucleotides long. RefSeq lists it as uncharacterized. NCBI's taxonomy places the organism in Eukaryota, Metazoa, Chordata, Crocodylia, Gavialidae. The record is from RefSeq and is a predicted model, not a curated record. The transcript has 4 exons.
CUGCUAUAGCACCAAAACAUUGGCCUGUUAAAAAUCACAGAAAUCAGACAGUUUAGAUUCUGGCCAUAUUUUUUUUUCGGUUAGACAUGGGGUUAGGUCUGUACAACAAACCACUAUGCAGGCUUCUGGUGCAGUUUCUGCCCUAAACAAAAGCAGGUUGUACCCAUACUUCCUGACUUCACCAUCCUUGGCCAUGCACUAAGAUACCUUCCUCCCUCUUCCUCUCCCCCUCCCCUUUCCUUUCCCAAAAGUAAUAAUGAAAAUAGCAGGUAGCACUUAUCCGUCUGGAACUGAGUAUUAUACACUGAUGGGGCCACCUGAGGUCUGCCAAAGCCCUCAGAAAGCUCAGAGGACAUCCAUCAGUAAAGACAGUGUCUAUUGCAGACUGCUCCAGAGUCUCCACACCAGGAGCUACUUGCCUCAACUCCUCAGAGAAAGUGAAGUCUCCUUUCCCUAUGAUUAUUCCAGCAGCAGGCAAAUGAGUGAGGACAACUGACUUGAUAUUAAUGGCAGCAGCAAGUACUUCAUCAGAUUCUUUGUAAAAGAGGGAAACAGGACUUUUUGCAUUCUUUAUAAAUAAACAGCAUAACAUCAGAGAAAUGCAUAUCUAUCUCAUUAGUUUCUCCUCCAAGAACUGACUACUCGCAGUAAAAUAGAUACGGAUGUUGUCAGAAGACAGGUGUCUGCCUUACUUCUAGAAGAAUUGUGCUAUUAAAGUCCUUAAAAAAAGAGGUGAAUGAGACAUCCCAGCACGACCCGGCUAUGGAACUGGAAAACACCAUUUGCCGUAGGCGGCCAGGUACAUACAUAUAUAGGAAGCUACCAAAGCACUGAAGCCCAGUUGUGAAAAGCCAACUUCAAAGAACAUCAUUAUGGACAACCACCAGGCAGUCUUCUAUAGGUUGGUCGUCUGGCUUCAGUUUCUUCACUUCAUCCUGGUGUCUGGCCACAACUUCAGUAUCUGCAAACAUGGAGAAAUAAAAGACAAGUAUAUAUCCAUCCUCGUGCGCGACUUAGAAACAUACCCGGGUAAAAAGGUGAUGUUUUUUUCCUCGUGUCCAACCAAAUCGAUGAUACAGUUGCUGCUGCUACAUCUCUGCCUGCCCUUAAUGGUGCUCGAAAGAUAGUUUGGAGAAUAUUUACUGGUAAAUCUAGGUCUUGAAUAGCUUGGUAAAUGGUUUUUGCCCAACAGCUUUUGGAAGGGAAAAUUUACCCCUCGUUUUCCAGGGGAACCUGAAGCCUGAAUUCAGGAUACCCUUGUAACUUGCAGUGGAUGAGAAAAGGUGAAACAAGGACACAGUCCUUCCAACCAAGAUAAAUCUGACGGUGUAUUCCAUUCAAUAUUAAUAUGCAACAGUAAUCUGCAUGAUAGGAUGUAAGUGGGAUAUGACAUGUGUACUGUGCAUGUGUCCAUACACACACCUACCACGGAAGACUUUUUUCUUCAAGCUAAGCAUGUCAGUAGAUUGCUCUGGACAGGGACUUGUCAGAUAACUUAGAACAUUUGAGAUAAGUCUUCCAGGUACCAGGUAUGGGAAGAAAAUUCAAUAGCUCAUAAAAACUUUGCAAUCCUUAUAACCAAUUUAUACCAUAAAUGCAAAAGCCAACAAUGCUGGAGAAAGUUCCUUUUUGCUAAAUAAAGUUGCCUGGUGUGAUCGUCUGGUUAUAUGCGAACUGCUGUUAUUUUCUCUCUCUGUUUCUAGGAUCAAGAUUAUCAUGACUGCGAAGUCGGUGUGAGUGUUAUUUCAUUGCUCUUCGAACCCAUGAAAUGAUGCUUAGGGAAAUCUGAAGGGGCUUCGGGACUUCCCGUGGUAGAGCAGGCAAAGCUUGGAGCUCAGUUCACAGAGCCCAACAAUAAUGAAGUGGUUUGGGGUUGAUACAAAUAUAAAACUUGCUGGGGAGGGAGAGGCGGAGAUUAAGAUAUUUUAAACAGAAAACCAUGAACACGUGCGGGUUGAUAGCUCAGCGUGUUUCGCUCCUUCUCUUCACUGCUUUUCAAAGGUGCUGAAAAGGAAACGGUCCAUGGUAGAUAGGGAUGUGUAGCUCUUUCAGGCAGUUUCUUAGAAAGAGCAAGGAUUUGCUGAGAAAGGUGUAACGGGUGCCAUCUAUCGGCUGUUAACCUCAGCUGACCGAUCGCGAUCACGUUGUCUCCGCGUACCAGAACGAAAACCUGUUGCGGUGCAUACACAACGUUACCAGGCGCUGCAUCUGCAUGCAGUAUAAACGCAUCUGGCAGGACACUCGUGAGCUUCUGAACGAAAAUUGCAAAAGCUACGACCCUUUGCAGGUAAGAACAGAGCACAGAGCUCCCCGGGUUGGGGGGUGGGUACCCCCCCUUUUUUUUAAUCUUCUAAAGCAAAAUUUGAGUGUAUUGUGCACGGGUGAGACGGCUUCCUUUGCUUUGGGAACGCUUAAGACGCUUGCUACUUUAUGUUUCUUUGAAAGCCAGAGGUGAGGUCUCUACUGAUGAUGAAUUUUAAAGGUGAUCAAAACAGGCAAAGCAAGUAUUUGUCACUAGAUAUUUCCUGGGGGUAGAGGGAAGACAGAUUGGUGCAUACGUGAUUGAUUCUUGUCCUCGCCCCUCCAAGGAAGUUCAUCCUGCCUCAGACACUGGUUGGCUCAAAGCUGCAUCCUACCUCUCUAGUCCGUCUGCUCAGACCGGACCUGGGAUUCACCUCUGGGGUGGUUCUAGCCGUGAUAUCAGCUGUGGAAGUUCCUGCAUCAGCGUGCUUAGGUGCAAGGCUCUUUACUACUAUAAAACUAGGGUAAAAAAAUACCUGAAUGCAUCUAAGCUACGCUACAGCUCCUGUUGAUGAUGGGGCAGAGUUUCUCUUCACUUUUUGCCAGUGCAGACUAGCAGCCAGGGUGCUGGGCAUUGGCUUGGGAUAGAGGAAUAAUACUUAUCUCUUCUGGUGCAGCAGAACUGUUCUUGGUGGCUGCCAAGGGACCCUCCAAUAUCAUAGGAGCAAAUUCUGUUCCCUAUUACAUUAGGUGAUGUGCAGGCCAUAAAGAGCAGCCUGACUUUCUGAGUCCAGGUCCCCUUUUUAGGGCUGUAAAUUGGGGAAUAGGGGUGGGAGAAAGAGAAUCUCCUUUAUCUUAAACCAAGUCAAUCUGACCAGAGGGCAGUGCCUCGGAUCAAACCAGUAACGUGUGGUUAGAACCUAAAAGGUAAUUUACUGAUAUAUGGUCUCAUGGUCCACAGGAUCCUGGAUGUCUCAAACCUGUUGCUCGGAAAAGAAGGGCCCCUGGCUCCUGUAAUAAAGAACUUGCAGAAUUAAGGUCAUUAUGGAGAAGUUACAUGAAUCUCGAGGACACGGU